AAUAUUUGACAAUGGGGGCAACCCUGAUCCAGCCAUGCCGCGUGUGUGAAGAAGGUCUUCGGAUUGUACAGCACUUUAAGUUGGGAGGAAGGGCUUUAGGUUAAUACACUGAAGUUUUGACGUUACUAACAGAAUUAGUACCGGCUAACUCUGUGCCAGUAGCCGCGGUAAUACAGAGGGUGCAAGCAUUAAUCGGAAUUAAUGGGCGUAAAGCGCGCGUAGGUAGUUCAGUAAGAUGGGUGUGAAAUCCCCGGGCUUAACCUGGGAACUGCUUUAAUAACUGCUGAUCUAGAGUACGGUAGAGGGUAGUGGAAUUUCCUGUGUAGCGGUGAAAUGCGUAGAUAUAGGAAGGAACACCAGUGGCGAAGGCGACUACCUGGACUGAUACUGACACUGAGGUGCGAAAGCGUGGGGAGCAAACA
RNAcentral lists this ribosomal RNA (422 nucleotides) under uncultured bacterium. RNAcentral describes it as "partial 16S ribosomal RNA". It matches the Rfam family "Bacterial small subunit ribosomal RNA", at positions 360 to 774 of the family's 1533-position model. The record is from RNAcentral.